Solanum tuberosum (potato) is the source of this 1573-nucleotide long non-coding RNA. RefSeq lists it as uncharacterized. The record is from RefSeq and is a predicted model, not a curated record. The transcript is spliced from 2 exons. NCBI's taxonomy places the organism in Eukaryota, Viridiplantae, Streptophyta, Magnoliopsida, Solanales, Solanaceae.
ACUAAAAAAGGAAAGAGACAAUAGCUCUGGAAGCUUGAAAAGUCACCAUGGAAGAUAUCUUCAAGCUGGCACUGGAGAUUUUGGAAGCACAAUUUCGCGGUCGAGCAGAUAUUCACCUUAGGAGUUCACUAGUAUCACGAAUACCAUGAAUUCAUAUUUAAUGAAGACUUCUUCUACCACUAAAUUGGGGGUUCCUUUUUUUACCGAUGGGCAACAUCAAAUUCUCAGGGAUUGAUCUUCAACUCUAAGACAUAGUUAGGUUUCCAUUUCUUCAUUCUUAACAGGUUGAGCUCCAGAGGAACUAAUACCACUGCCAAAGAAAUCUGAUCUGAAAUCUAAUUAUGUCAUAUUGGAGAUGCCGACUUCAGGUCUUGCAUAGGAGAAUCUUUCUCUGGAUAAGGAAUAAUGGGGAGAUACGCUUUGUGCUCCAUUGUUGUACAAUCUGAAGACUCUUGAGGGCUUGUAGAUAUCAUCUGUAGUGGUAUAGGGUACUCAACAUUAGCAAUCACAGUGGACUGCUGGACACUGGCACAUAUUAAUUGUUCCCCAUCCUUACUAUCUACUUCUUUAUUACUACUGAUUUGGAUGCUUUGAUUAAUCAUUAGUUGUUUGGUCUCUUGAGCUAACUUCUCAUCCUUGAGAUUUGUAGUCUUGUCCACCUUUUCUAUCUUUGAUUGCUCACCCUGAAUAUCCUCAUGUGUGCUGUAUAUAUUGCUGCUAAUUGAUUUGUUAUCCUGAAUCUCUUGAGCAGUAGAGGAUACUUCAUAGUAUCAAUUUGUUUUUUCAUUGGUAUUUUGAUUUGGCUUUGUUGUACCUCCACCUUGUCUGAUGUUUGCAUUGAGACUGGCUCAUAAUUUUCCACAACUAUUUGAACUUGUUGUGUCUCAUCAGCCAGACAGUCAAAAGCAUUGACAGUCGCCACUAUAUUUUUACCAUUGGAUUCUGCUUCUUUAGUCCUAUCCAUGAUGAAAACUUUUUUAAUUGGACACCAUUUUUUGAUGAACUUUUUAUGUCUCUAGUUAAUCUUCUGAUAUUGAUCUUGAGCCUGACGUUGAGGUAGCUCCCCUUCCUCUUGAACCUUUUUUUCUCUAGCAUAUUUUAAUUCAGGAUGAAUUGUUCUGCAUUCUUCUUCAUUGUGUCCUUGCAGCUUGCAGGUGCGACAAUACUUAGGUAAAAAGUCAUAAUGGAUUUUGAUCUUCUCAAUCCUUGCACUUUUCUUUCCUGGACUAAUCACUUCUAUCUCCAUCCACUCCGGAAUAUUUGCAAUAAGGUCUACCUGAACUUUGACUCUCGCACAACUUGGGUGUGUCUUAUUAAUUGUUGCCAAGUCCAAUUGCACCGGCUUCCCCACAGCCGAUGCUAAUGAGAACAAAGUUUCUUUGCCAUAAAAAGUGGGCAACAGUUGCGGGAAAUAAAUCCAAGACAUUGCUUGAGUAGUCUCCUCCUAUGGUUAGAAUUUGGCAUCAUAGAUUAGCGGCCACAUUUGAUACGUAUAUCCAUCUUUAGCAAUAAUGUAAUAAGUAUUUUUUGACAUUAUGUUAAUAAAAUCUUCCAUCUGGAUUAAUCUGAUUAA